RNAcentral lists this long non-coding RNA (2651 nucleotides) under Homo sapiens (human). Its description in RNAcentral is "HSALNT0138096". Lineage: Eukaryota; Metazoa; Chordata; Mammalia; Primates; Hominidae. The record is from RNAcentral.
UAAAGUGGGGUACUAUCAUCUAAAUCUCCAAAAAGGUCAUUCAACUCUGAUCCCUGUUUAAAGAGAGAAAAAAGGAAUAAAGGAGCCUUUGAAGGCAGAAUAUUGCUCACUCAUCUCUUUGAAAGGACCUCAGACUGCAGAGCAGAAGAACCACUGGCUACAUCAGCUGGGGCAGAGGGGGAUGAAGAGAACAUCAUGAUGCCUGCAAAAAAGUGGGCUCUGCAGGAUCUCCAGUCACCUCCCUUCCCUUCAGAUCCAGAGCUCUCUCUGGCUAGGACCUUCCAGAGUUCCAGAAUUUUUGUUCCACCUUCCAUUGCUCACUUCUAUUACUAUUACUAAGAUAUUCACAUGGAAUUCUGUGCAAACCAUUUUUUUUUUCUUUUGGUGCCCUCUUUGUUUUACUUCCUCUAUUGGGACUAAUGGCCAUCUGACUUGGGGGUCCUUUGUUUUUUGUGACAAACCACCCUCAGCAGAUUUCCUUGAGGUCCAUUUGCUCAAGGGCCUUAAAGCUUUUUGGAGUAAUACAGAGUUGAAUCUCCUGUUUCCUGGACCCCAAGUCUUCUGUUUUCUUGAUUUACUUGCUGGGCUGAGGCACACCCUUAAGUAAUUCCCUAACAACAGGGUUGCUCCUAGAUGUGUGGGGCCUCAGAUAAAUAUUUUUUUGUGGGACCUUUUUCUAAAUAAAUAAUUUGACUAAGAAAGUAUUACAAAAUUCAUGGACCCACGUGGGGUAUAGUGUUUUAUUGAAAGUCAUUCAGAAUAAUGGAUACAGAUGAGGUACUUACAUAUUCAUUACUUAAUCAGUGCAUGUGAAAAUUCUUUCUUCAUAAUGUCCAGGCACUAUCUCUGUGUUCUUGGCUAAUUCCAUAUCUCCAGUCAUGAAGAAAAGUAGCAAUACUGUCAUUACUCACAAUGCCAAGUUCUUGGGAACUUGUUUACAAUGAACAAUAUAGAUCUGUACUACUUUUGCAAUACAAUUUAUUGAAGUCUGGUUAUAUUGUUAUAGAUGAUGCUGCACCAUGAAUACUGGCUUUCAAUGACUUUCUCAAAAGUUGUUGCUGUGCUUCAUUGUUGAUGACCAAAAAUGCAAGUCUUAUCCAGAGUAUGCAAGAAAAUGUGAACAAUAAUUUGUUUUCUGAUUAUGUUGAAUUUACUGUUUAUAAUCUGAACAUAGAGCAUGUCUUCCAACUCUAUCUUCUCUUAAACUCUAUGCUGUAAUUACUACAUUCCUAGACAGUGAUUCUUUUCAUGUUAACUGCACUCCUGCCUUCCACUCACUGCCACCAGUGGAGAGGACUAAAUGAAUGAGAAGAGCAGCCUCAUUGGCACAAGGAACAUCUCUCAUCAGGAAUGGCUUCAACUGAUCCAGGAGUGCUUGAUAUCCCCACAUCUGUGGAGGCAGGGGAGGACAUCAAUUGGAAAAGCCCCUUGCUGUUUCAGAGCAAAGAUCUUGAAAGCACCAGGUAGAGAAAGAUGUAGCCAUUGUCAAAAGACUGCCUGUUAGAUGAAUGGGACAGUGGGAUGACCACCCUGGGUUCAGUGGUAAAGUCAAAUGGAGUAAAGGAUGCCUGUUGCCACCCCAGCUGCACUUGGGUGCUGAAGAUCAGAAGUGAAACUACAGAACAAAUCCAGAUGAGAGCUCACCUAGGGGCUCACACAUAUAGUUCAGGCCAAGGUUCAGUGAUGGACCAUCAUCAGUACUCAGAGCACUGAACUUGUCCUGGGUGUGAUGUAUUUGAGAGUCACUUAAAAUCAUCAUAUCGCUGCCAUUUUGGCCACCCAAUCUCAUAGGAUUCUGUGAAAUAAAUAUGGCACUGGGCAGCAGGAGCAAUUCACUUGUCAGGAAUCCCUCCUGGAAUCAGGGCUUGGCCAAGGACUUCAAGCCAACCACCCAAGGCAUGAAUCCCAGAACUCCUGGGGGCAUCUGGCAACUUCAUGUGCAGAAUAUAUCUUCUCUGACCUAGUGUGGCUGAUGAUGAGAGGUCUGAUGCUGGUUGAAGUUCUUGGUUUUCACAGGUAUCUUUUACAUUUCUAUCUUUCCUGCUAAACCUUCUCAGUAUCUUCUAUUAUGGAUGUAUUGAAGUUUUAUAGUGAUGGGUCUAGAUGUGUGUGUGUAUGUCUGCAUGUGUAUGCACAUAUGUGAGUUGUCAACUUGAGCACUUGGGUACUUGAUUGGCUUCUUAAUUUGGAUACUCAUGUCCUUUGACUCUGGGACAAUCCUUUGCGAUAAUUCUUUGAUUUCUUUCUUUUUGUUUUUCUCUUUUUGUCACUCCUAUUGAUCAGAUGUGGGGCCUCUUGGACUGAUCCUCAACACAUCUUACCUUUCUCAUUUUCUUACAUCUUCUUGCCUUUGUUCUACAACAUUGGUUUUAUUAUAUUUUACCUACUAUUAGAAUUUCGGGCUCAUAUAUUUAUUUUUCAAUAGUUUUUCCUUGUUAGCUAGUUGUACUUUGUUGAUGCAAUAUUUUUUUUUACUACUCUUUCUAAGAAUAUUUAUUAAAGAGUUUUUAAAGGUUAAAUUGUGUUUCCAAAUUAUUUCUCUUCUUUCCAACGUUGCAUAUGCUGCUUGUUAAUCUUGGUUUCUCUCUUUUGGGUUGUAGAUGUUCCUCAGAGAUCUUUGGGUGUUACAUCACAUUUAAGAGCCAGACAAU